Molecule: small nuclear RNA, 107 nt
Organism: Hippopotamus amphibius kiboko
Lineage: Eukaryota; Metazoa; Chordata; Mammalia; Artiodactyla; Hippopotamidae
Source: RefSeq, a predicted model, not a curated record
GUGCUCACUUCAGCAGCACAUGUACUAAAAUUGCAGUGAUACGGAGAAGAUGACCAUGGCCCCUGCGCAAGGAUGACAUGCAAAUUCGUGAAGCAUUCCAUAUUUUU